CUUUCCUCUGGUUCUUUUAGCAAUGCUGACAAAAAGGCUGAAGCCUCCCGUGCUGCAACGAUGACGCUGCAGCGCUGCCUUGUGAUGCUGGGCUGGCGUCGAGCAGCUGUCCUCCCGUCUGCUGACCGUGUCAUACUGCCGUCCUGUUUUAAACUUCAGCAUCCCGGUUUCACCUGACGUAAUUUCAGCCAAGGGGAACGGCUGAGCCUGGCUGGGUGCUGUGCCUGUUGGCCCUGACCCACAUCGAACAGAGCUGCUGAGCCAAUGUCUUGAAAAGCAGCCUUGAACCGGGGGACGAAGAAGGCAUCACCAGGGAGGUCCCCAGGCACCUGGGCUGAAAGUAUGUUCUGCUCAACUUUAGCAAAAGGCAUUGGACUUUGGAUAUUAUGAACAUAAAUGUGACAAUGACUGGUGAUGAAAAACAUGGGAUCCACACAGGAACAAAGAUGAUGGAGUCAGUCCAGAGAUGCUGACUUCUUCCAUCACAGAUUUGUGACUUGUUAACGUUGUAAUAGUUGAUGUUUCCAGAAGAGAAACAGAAAUUUGGGCACUGAAGGACAGAAACUAAGCUAACUUUAAAAUCAACGAAGGAGCUAUUUGUGUUCAGUGAUUUAAGUCCAUUUUCUAAUUAUAAACACCAGGGUAAACAAGUAAGCAAAUGAGUGAGGCCAUUCAAUGCCACGCUGCAGAAGAUGGGCGCUUUCUCCUUUUUCUCACAUUAACUCUGUAUUUCCAUUUCUAUCUCAUUAAUGUUAAGUUUGGCACUACAUUAUAUGCUCUAAUUACCCGUGGAUUUUGGCCUACAGUUCAUUUUUGCACCAUAAUUAAUGCAACAUUCAUAAGAGGCCCAAAUCUGAUAAUUAGGAGAGUACUUGGAAGUGCUCAGUUACAUUAGAAAUACACAGCAUCACAUUAAGAGUGGUUUAUAACCACCCGCAGAUGGGAUAACUCAUAAUGGGCUUCUGUUUUUUAAGUAAGGUGUUUCAAUUACUGAAGUACAAGCAGGAUCAAUUAAGAAUAUUCAAAUGGAAGAUAAUGAAUGGUUUUUUUUUUAUAAAUGGAGAUCUUGCAACUGGCAUAAUUAGAUCUUUCAUCUGCUAGGAAAAAACAAGCCAUUCGUCAAAGCUGUGGAAUGAAAUAAUGGCAAAAACACUUGGAGCCGUUUCCUUGUGCAAUGGAGAUGCCACAAUUCCCAAACGUGUUGCAGACCAGCAGCCAUGAGCUGCAAGGCUGACUUCUCUUUGUCAGGCUUCUAACGUGUGCCACGGUGUUAGAAUUGCAGCUGUCUGGGACACAGGUGGCUUUUCUGCAGUGAAAUAUCCAGUGAAAAAUGGCAAUUGCAGUUUGUUGAAAUCUUCAGGCAAAAAAUUCUUCAUCGUUUCAUGUGUCUACUUUGUGUGUGCAAUAGCGGAACUUUUUUGUGUCAAAACAAGACUUUCUCUAAAGAAUUAUGUGUUUUAUAACAAAAGUCUAGUGUUCGCACUUUGUUAAUGUCAGUCACUACUUUAAGUUCCUUUCUGAAUAGCAAACUAUCACAAACUCCCUCACAGCAUCUGGGGCUCACGUAUGUUCCCUCCUACUCCACAGCCUGCCGGUCGGUUUUCUGGUCACCAGGGUACGUAUCAUCCUGUCCUGCCUUUGGGAGGGCCAGUUCACACACGUGCCCAUGCAAUGUCGAUCGUUUUGUAUCCUGGUACCUUCUGGAUGUCCUGAAAGUGGUGUUAGAAAGCUGGCCGUAUCUUAAGGCACCUGAUGGUAAGAUCUGAAAAUUAUAUUUUCUGGUAACGGAACAAUGACACAAAAAUUAAAUAACAAAAAAACAGUAUUAAGAUCAAAAGCAAUAAGAAAGAUCCUUGUUGGUGCUUUUAACAUUUCAACUGGUAUCUACUUUACUUUAGGUUGAGUUGUAGUAAGCCUCACUAAAUGAAGUAAAGUUUCUUUGGCUAGAGUAGCUGCUGCCUUUUCUCAGCUCUCCAUCCUGCUCCCGGGGAAGGACAGGUCAGAUAGCAAACAUCAUGUUU
This is a long non-coding RNA of Grus americana (Whooping crane), 2021 nucleotides long. RefSeq lists it as uncharacterized. The record is from RefSeq and is a predicted model, not a curated record. NCBI's taxonomy places the organism in Eukaryota, Metazoa, Chordata, Aves, Gruiformes, Gruidae. The transcript has 3 exons.